Molecule: ribosomal RNA, 266 nt
Filed under: uncultured bacterium
Lineage: Bacteria
Description: partial 16S ribosomal RNA
Rfam family: Bacterial small subunit ribosomal RNA
Source: RNAcentral
GUCCAUGCCGUAAACGAUGAACACUAGGUUUUGAGCCCGUCAACGGCUCGGAGCCGCAGCUAACGCGUUAAGUGUUCCGCCUGGGGAGUACGCUCGCAAGGGUGAAACUCAAAGGAAUUGACGGGGCCCGCACAAGCGGUGGAGCAUGUGGUUUAAUUCGACGCAACGCGAAGAACCUUACCAGGGCUUGACAUGGGAAAGACAGGACGAGAGAUCGUCCCUCUCUAGCAAUAGAGCUUUCUACACAGGUGCUGCAUGGCUGUCGU